AUUAAAAUGACUGUGUCUAUAGGAAAGCAGAGGCGGUAUUAAUUAGAUGAUAAAUUUGUGUUAAGUUGUUUGUCACUUGCAAUAGUUUCACUAUGUCUGAUGUAGACUUAUGGAAGCACCACAUGAAUUCAGUGGGAGCACAUAAGAUGAUAAAUGCAGCUAACAGGCUAAAAUAUCACAAUUGCUGAUGCAAAGAUUAACUAUCUGUAGUCAAUAGGUGUUGUUUUUGUAAGAAUUUAGCAGAAUCAUUGCAGCACCUUCUACGGAGGUGUAUUUAGUUGGCCAUUAUGUCAUGGGAUGUUGUGAGUAUCCAGGGUGAUUUGAGAGUUGAUUGAAAUGAAUUGUGGACUUAAAGAGG
This 358-nucleotide unclassified non-coding RNA is filed under the name Hevea brasiliensis (rubber tree). The record is from RNAcentral. Lineage: Eukaryota; Viridiplantae; Streptophyta; Magnoliopsida; Malpighiales; Euphorbiaceae.